Molecule: ribosomal RNA, 736 nt
Filed under: Salmonella enterica subsp. enterica
Lineage: Bacteria; Pseudomonadati; Pseudomonadota; Gammaproteobacteria; Enterobacterales; Enterobacteriaceae
Description: partial 23S ribosomal RNA
Rfam family: Bacterial large subunit ribosomal RNA
Source: RNAcentral
GACUGACCGAUAGUGAACCAGUACCGUGAGGGAAAGGCGAAAAGAACCCCGGCGAGGGGAGUGAAAAAGAACCUGAAACCGUGUACGUACAAGCAGUGGGAGCACAGGUUUACCUGUGUGACUGCGUACCUUUUGUAUAAUGGGUCAGCGACUUAUAUUCUGUAGCAAGGUUAACCGUAUAGGGGAGCCGGAGGGAAACCGAGUCUUAAUUGGGCGUUAAGUUGCAGGGUAUAGACCCGAAACCCGGUGAUCUAGCCAUGGGCAGGUUGAAGGUUGGGUAACACUAACUGGAGGACCGAACCGACUAAUGUUGAAAAAUUAGCGGAUGACCUGUGGCUGGGGGUGAAAGGCCAAUCAAACCGGGAGAUAGCUGGUUCUCCCCGAAAGCUAUUUAGGUAGCGCCUCGUGAAUUCAUCUCCGGGGGUAGAGCACUGUUUCGGCUAGGGGGCCAUCCCGGCUUACCAACCCGAUGCAAACUGCGAAUACCGGAGAAUGUUAUCACGGGAGACACACGGCGGGUGCUAACGUCCGUCGUGAAGAGGGAAACAACCCAGACCGCCAGCUAAGGUCCCAAAGUCAUGGUUAAGUGGGAAACGAUGUGGGAAGGCCCAGACAGCCAGGAUGUUGGCUUAGAAGCAGCCAUCAUUUAAAGAAAGCGUAAUAGCUCACUGGUCGAGUCGGCCUGCGCGGAAGAUGUAACGGGGCUAAACCAUGCACCGAAGCUGCGGCAGCGAAC